RNAcentral lists this ribosomal RNA (490 nucleotides) under uncultured bacterium. RNAcentral describes it as "partial 16S ribosomal RNA". It matches the Rfam family "Bacterial small subunit ribosomal RNA", at positions 30 to 507 of the family's 1533-position model. The record is from RNAcentral.
AUUGAACGCUGGCGGCAUGCUUUACACAUGCAAGUCGAACGGCAGCGGGGUAGUGCUUGCACUACUGCCGGCGAGUGGCGAACGGGUGAGUAAUAUAUCGGAACGUACCGAGUAAUGGGGGAUAACCAAUCGAAAGAUUGGCUAAUACCGCAUACGUCCUGAGGGAGAAAGCGGGGGAUCGCAAGACCUCGCGUUAUUCGAGCGGCCGAUAACUGAUUAGCUAGUUGGCGGGGUAAAGGCCUACCAAGGCGACGAUCAGUAGCGGGUCUGAGAGGACGAUCCGCCACACUGGGACUGAGACACGGCCCAGACUCCUACGGGAGGCAGCAGUGGGGAAUUUUGGACAAUGGGGGCAACCCUGAUCCAGCCAUGCCGCGUGUAUGAAGAAGGCCUUCGGGUUGUAAAGUACUUUUGUUAGGGAAGAAAAGGGAAGUGCUAAUACCACUUUUUGCUGACGGUACCUAAAGAAUAAGCACCGGCUAACUACGUG